ACGAGCAACGUGAUUCAGGACUCGGGCUGAAAGUGAAAAUGUCCGUUUGCCAGCCAUGAAUAAGUAAUAUGUAACUGCAAUCAGGAGAAAACUAUGAGGACAGUGACCAUGUAAACGUCAUACUCUGAACAAACAGGCACCCUGAUGCUCGGUGCCCUAACCCUAAUAAACAGAACCGCCACGUUUCUCCACUUACCGCGGUCUGGGAAUCCUCAGGGUAGGAGACAGAAAGGAAGAUGUUCAAAUUAUUCCUGCGAAAAUUACGAGAGUCCCAGGUUACUUCGGACCUGAGGCUUGGCUGCUCCUCCCAGCGUUUCUGCCCAGGAAUGGAUGCUUCAGAAAACACCUGCUCCUGGGUUCCUGUGGCAAGAACCCCACCCCAGAUGUUUUACAGCUUCAGAAAACACCUGCUUCUGGGUUCCUGUGGCAAGGACUCCACCCCAGAUGUUUUACAGCUUCAGAAAACACCUGCUUCUGGGUUCCUGUGGCAAGAAACCCACCCCAGAUGUUUUACAGCUUCAGAAAACAUCUGCUUCUGGGUUCCUGUGGCAAGGAGCACACCCCAGAUGUUUUACAGCUUCAGAGAAAAUAUCCAUCUGUGGGAUUAUAAUAUAUCAAUAGAAAUGUAUGAAAUCCUAAUCUGGCAGAGAUUAAAUAAUCUAAGAAUGAGUUAAAUCAUUGAUUGUAAAAAGAUGGUUGUACAUGCACAGUUAUACAAAACCUGACAGUUGUAAUAGGUGUAAUCAAGUGAAAUGGUGUAAUAACAAAUUAAUAGUUGGAGAAAACUAAAGGUCUCAACAUAACAUGCAGGGUUCUGUGGUUAACUGGUCUGUCACCGUUACAUCGUAAUUAGCAGAGGGGGUGGGACAGUCAGCUGAAUACUGGGAUAUUAACUACAUUAUUUUUAGGGUGUGGGCAUGUGGAGCAAAUAACCGCCUGGCAGUUACUGAAACCCAGUAAACUGUGGGAAAUACUGAGCCCGGCCACUAGGGGCAGCCUACUGCCAUGUUUAUAGAAACUGCCACGGGGAUAAACUUAGCAGUUAAACUGACACCUAAGCCAGUGUCAGAAAGACUGCAGGGUCACAGGGCAGCUUAGCUCACGGAAAAGUGUGAAAACAAACCCUGGCAGCUCAGAAUGACAAAUAUAGGACGUACUUUGACUUGAUAAGCCAAUAGAAGUAUGCCUACUGACAGAGGAAAAUGUUCUAGCAAUUUGCUUAUUCUUUGACAAAUUGUUUUGUACUUUAAAAAUCCAUUAUGAAAAAAAUAAACCUACUUAAACACAUGAAAUCUAGGUUAAGAAGAAAGUAAAACAUUUGGACAUUUUCAUGAGCUUUACACAUAAGAAACUACAGUGACAUCUUGUGGUAGAUGUAGAGAACGACAAAUGCUUCUUUUAAUGCAGCGUUUCACAAACCAGUCCUCGGGGACCCACAGACAGUUCACGUUUUUGCUGUCUGGCAGGGAGCUGAGAGGGAGCAAAAACGUGGACCGUCUGGAGGUCUGGAGAAAUAGUGUCUAUUUUUAACACUAAAACUGAUGGUGGCUUUUAAGGGGAAGCUCAUAUUUGACUUUUAUUAUCAGGGAUUUUGGACCAUUAUAAUAAUAAACUGUCCAGAGAAAUCA
Molecule: long non-coding RNA, 1628 nt
Organism: Brienomyrus brachyistius
Lineage: Eukaryota; Metazoa; Chordata; Actinopteri; Osteoglossiformes; Mormyridae
Exons: 3
Source: RefSeq, a predicted model, not a curated record